GACGAACGCUGGCGGCGCGCCUAACACAUGCAAGUCGAACGAGCGAGAGAGAGCUUGCUUUCUCGAGCGAGUGGCGAACGGGUGAGUAACGCGUGAGGAACCUGCCUCAAAGAGGGGGACAACAGUUGGAAACGACUGCUAAUACCGCAUAAGCCCACGGCUCGGCAUCGAGCAGAGGGAAAAGGAGCAAUCCGCUUUGAGAUGGCCUCGCGUCCGAUUAGCUAGUUGGUGAGGUAAUGGCCCACCAAGGCGACGAUCGGUAGCCGGACUGAGAGGUUGAACGGCCACAUUGGGACUGAGACACGGCCCAGACUCCUACGGGAGGCAGCAGUGGGGAAUAUUGCACAAUGGGGGAAACCCUGAUGCAGCGACGCCGCGUGGAGGAAGAAGGUCUUCGGAUUGUAAACUCCUGUU
RNAcentral lists this ribosomal RNA (414 nucleotides) under uncultured bacterium. Its description in RNAcentral is "bacterial SSU rRNA". It matches the Rfam family "Bacterial small subunit ribosomal RNA", at positions 28 to 437 of the family's 1533-position model. The record is from RNAcentral.